UGAAUACGAGACGCUAAGGCGUCGAAGUAGUGUAUGUCAUACUUCCAAGAAAAGCUUGCACUGUCAUAGAUAAAAAACGCCUGUACCAUAACCGACACAGGUGGGUAGGUAGAGUAUACUAAGGGGCGCGAGAUAACUCUCUCUAAGGAACUCGGCAAAAUAACUCCGUAACUUCGGGAGAAGGAGUGCCUUAUUCGUAAGGUUGCAAUAACAAGAUCCAAGCAACUGUUUAUCAAAAACACAGGUCUCCGCUAAGUCGUAAGACGAUGUAUGGGGGCUGACGCCUGCCCAGUGCCAGAAGGUUAAAGAAGUUGGUUAGCAAUUGCGAAGCUGAUAACUGAAGCCCUGGUGAACGGCGGCCGUAACCAUAACGGUCCUAAGGUAGCGAAAUUCCUUGUCGGGUAAGUUCCGACCCGCGCGAAAGGUGUAAUGAUUUGGAUACUGUCUCGGAGAGGGGCUCGGUGAAAUAGACUUGUCUGUGAAGAUGCGGACUACCUGCACCAGGACAGAAAGACCCUAUGAAGCUUUACUGUAACUUGAAAUUGAAAUUGGACUUUAUUCGCGCAGUAUAGGUGGGAGGCGUUGAUUAUAAUCUUGUGGGAUUAUUGGAGCCAUCAGUGAGAUACCACUCUUGUAAUGUUAGAUUUCUAACUUUGAAUCAUUAUCUGGUCAAAGAACAGUUUCAGGCGGGCAGUUUGACUGGGGCGGUCGCCUCCUAAACGGUAACGGAGGCGUACAAAGGUUUCCUCUGAACGGUUAGAAAUCGUAUCUAGAGUGUAAAGGCAUAAGGAAGCUUGACUGUGAGACCUACAAGUCGAGCAGGGACGAAAGUCGGUCUUAGCGAUCUGACGGUACUGAGUGGAAAGGCCGUCACUCAACGGAUAAAAGUUACUCUAGGAUAACAGGCUGAUCUCCCCCAAGAGUUCACAUCGACGGGGAGGUUUGGCACCUCGAUGUCGGCUCAUCGCAUCCUGGGGCGGUAGUACGUCCCAAGGGUCGGGCUGUUCGCCCAUGAAAGCGGUACGCGAGCUGGGUUCAGAACGUCGUGAGACAGUUCGGUCCAUAUCCGGUGUAGGCGUUAGAAUAUUGAGAGGAGCCUUCUUUAGUACGAGAGGACCGAGAAGGACAUACCUCUGGUGUACCAGUUAUCGUGCCAACGGUAAACGCUGGGUAGCUAUGUAUGGAGUGGAUAACCGCUGAAAGCAUCUAAGUGGGAAGCCCACCUCAAGAUAAGUAUUCUC
This 1241-nucleotide ribosomal RNA is filed under the name metagenome. Its description in RNAcentral is "bacterial LSU rRNA". It matches the Rfam family "Bacterial large subunit ribosomal RNA", at positions 1564 to 2815 of the family's 2925-position model. The record is from RNAcentral.